CACGUAGGGCGCGAGCGUUGUCCGGAAUUAUUGGGCGUAAAGAGCUCGUAGGCGGUUUGUUGCGUCGGCUGUGAAAUCCCGAGGCUCAACCUCGGGUCUGCAGUCGAUACGAGCAAACUAGAGUGUUGCAGGGGAGACUGGAAUUCCUGGUGUAGCGGUGAAAUGCGCAGAUAUCAGGAGGAACACCGGUGGCGAAGGCGGGUCUCUGGGCAACAACUGACGCUGGAGGAGCGAAGGCGUGGGGAGCGAACAGG
This 254-nucleotide ribosomal RNA is filed under the name uncultured bacterium. RNAcentral's name for it is "partial 16S ribosomal RNA". It matches the Rfam family "Bacterial small subunit ribosomal RNA", at positions 524 to 776 of the family's 1533-position model. The record is from RNAcentral.